This 377-nucleotide unclassified non-coding RNA is filed under the name uncultured Thermoleophilia bacterium. RNAcentral describes it as "contains 16S-23S intergenic spacer region". Lineage: Bacteria; Bacillati; Actinomycetota; Thermoleophilia. The record is from RNAcentral.
UCCGGUUUGUCACCGGCAGUCUCGCAUGAGUCCCCAGCUGAACUGCUGGCAACAUGCGACGGGGGUUGCGCUCGUUGCGGGACUUAACCCAACAUCUCACAACACGAGCUGACGACAGCCAUGCACCACCUGUGAUCCUGUCCCGAAGGAAAGACGUGUUUCCACGCCGGUCAUCCACAUGUCAAGCCCAGGUAAGGUUCUUCGCGUUGCGUCGAAUUAAACCACAUGCUCCGCUGCUUGUGCGGGCCCCCGUCAAUUCCUUUGAGUUUUAGCCUUGCGGCCGUACUCCCCAGGCGGGGUGCUUAAUGCGUUAGCUGCGGCACGGGAGGAGUCGACACCUCCCACACCUAGCACCCAUCGUUUACGGCGUGGACUAC